UACGUAGGGGGCAAGCGUUACCCGGAAUCACUGGGCGUAAAGAGAACGUAGGCGGUUUGGAAAGUCUUUUGUGAAAGCUCCUGGCUCAACUAGGAGAGGUCAAGAGAUACUUUCAGACUUGAGGACAGUAGAGGUAAGCGGAAUUCUUAGUGUAGCGGUGAAAUGCGUAGAUAUUAAGAAGAACACCAGAGGCGAAGGCGGCUUACUGGGCUGUUUCUGACGCUGAGGUUCGAGAGCGUGGGUAGCAAAC
RNAcentral lists this ribosomal RNA (250 nucleotides) under uncultured bacterium. RNAcentral describes it as "partial 16S ribosomal RNA". It matches the Rfam family "Bacterial small subunit ribosomal RNA", at positions 524 to 773 of the family's 1533-position model. The record is from RNAcentral.